UUAUCGAAUGUAUCUACAAGUCGGUUGUAGCUGGCUCUCUGGAGCAGGUGCUCGCCGCUUGUCUUUACUACCUUUCCACUUUGUGAACCUUUGUAGACCUCGAAUGAAGUCGCCUGAAAACGGCGGACUAGAUGGGACUUGUCUUUGGGCAUUCCCUUGACUAGUAGUAGUAGUUCGAGGUCUAUGUCCUUAUCAUUUACUCUUGACUGAAUGUUAUUGAAUGUGAAUUUACUGGUCUCUUGUGGACCUCUAAAACUUUAUACAACUUUCAGCAACGGAUCUCUUGGCUCUCGCAUCGAUGAAGAACGCAGCGAAAUGCGAUAAGUAAUGUGAAUUGCAGAAUUCAGUGAAUCAUCGAAUCUUUGAACGCACCUUGCGCUCCUUGGUAUUCCGAGGAGCAUGCCUGUUUGAGUGUCAUUAAAUUCUCAACCUUGACUUAUUUUGUUAAGUCAAAGGCUUGGAUUGUGGGGGUUUUUGCGGGCUUCCCCUGGAAGUCGGCUCCCCUUAAAUAAAUUAGUGGAGACUUGUAAUCGUCGCCUUGGUGUGAUAAUUAUCUGCGCCUUGGAUGUAUGGUUGACUCUUGAUGUCUUUGCUCAUAACUGUCCAACUCUCGAUGGACAACAAUUACCAUGACCUUUGACCUCAAAUCAGGUAGGACUACCCGCUGAACUUAAGCAUAUCAAUAAGCGGAGGAAAAGAAACUAACAAGGAUUCCCCUAGUAACUGCGAGUGAAGCGGGAAAAGCUCAAAUUUAAAAUCUGGCAGUCUUUGGCUGUCC
RNAcentral lists this ribosomal RNA (778 nucleotides) under Agaricales sp. MS99. Its description in RNAcentral is "eukaryotic LSU rRNA". The stretch from base 264 to 417 matches the Rfam family "5.8S ribosomal RNA". Lineage: Eukaryota; Fungi; Basidiomycota; Agaricomycetes; Agaricales. The record is from RNAcentral.